RNAcentral lists this ribosomal RNA (497 nucleotides) under uncultured bacterium. Its description in RNAcentral is "partial 16S ribosomal RNA". It matches the Rfam family "Bacterial small subunit ribosomal RNA", at positions 30 to 523 of the family's 1533-position model. The record is from RNAcentral.
AUUGAACGCUGGCGGCAUGCCUUACACAUGCAAGUCGAACGGUAACAGGUCUUCGGAUGCUGACGAGUGGCGAACGGGUGAGUAAUACGUCGGAACGUGCCUAGUAGUGGGGAUAACUACUCGAAAGAGUGGCUAAUACCGCAUGUGAUCUACGGAUGAAAGCAGGGGAUCGCAAGACCUUGUGCUACUAGAGCGGCCGAUGGCAGAUUAGGUAGUUGGUGGGAUAAAAGCUUACCAAGCCGACGAUCUGUAGCUGGUCUGAGAGGACGAUCAGCCACACUGGGACUGAGACACGGCCCAGACUCCGACGGGAGGCAGCAGUGGGGAAUUUUGGACAAUGGGCGAAAGCCUGAUCCAGCAAUGCCGCGUGCAGGAUGAAGGCCUUCGGGUUGUAAACUGCUUUUGUACGGAACGAAAAGCCCCGGGUUAAUACCCUGGGGUCAUGACGGUACCGUAAGAAUAAGCACCGGCUAACUACGUGCCAGCAGCCGCGGUAA